Molecule: ribosomal RNA, 292 nt
Filed under: Acanthamoeba genotype T4
Lineage: Eukaryota; Discosea; Longamoebia; Acanthamoebidae
Description: partial 18S ribosomal RNA
Rfam family: Eukaryotic small subunit ribosomal RNA
Source: RNAcentral
UUUCAGUUGGUUUUGGCAGCGCGAGGACUAGGGUAAUGAUUAAUAGGGAUAGUUGGGGGCAUUAAUAUUUAAUUGUCAGAGGUGAAAUUCUUGGAUUUAUGAAAGAUUAACUUCUGCGAAAGCAUCUGCCAAGGAUGUUUUCAUUAAUCAAGAACGAAAGUUAGGGGAUCGAAGACGAUCAGAUACCGUCGUAGUCUUAACCAUAAACGAUGCCGACCAGCGAUUAGGAGACGUUGAAUACAAAACACCACCAUCGGUGCGGUCGUCCUUGGCGUCGGUCUUUCGGGGCCGG